RNAcentral lists this ribosomal RNA (503 nucleotides) under uncultured bacterium. RNAcentral's name for it is "bacterial SSU rRNA". It matches the Rfam family "Bacterial small subunit ribosomal RNA", at positions 16 to 507 of the family's 1533-position model. The record is from RNAcentral.
AUCCUGGCUCAGGAUGAACGCUAGCUACAGGCUUAACACAUGCAAGUCGAGGGGCAGCGGGAUUGAAGCUUGCUUCAAUUGCCGGCGACCGGCGCACGGGUGAGUAACGCGUAUCCAACCUUCCGUACACUCAGGGAUAGCCCUUUCGAAAGAAAGAUUAAUACCUGAUGGUAUGAUGAGAUCGCAUGGUAUCAUCAUUAAAGAUUUAUCGGUGUACGAUGGGGAUGCGUUCCAUUAGGUAGUAGGCGGGGUAACGGCCCACCUAGCCUACGAUGGAUAGGGGUUCUGAGAGGAAGGUCCCCCACAUUGGAACUGAGACACGGUCCAAACUCCUACGGGAGGCAGCAGUGAGGAAUAUUGGUCAAUGGACGAGAGUCUGAACCAGCCAAGUAGCGUGAAGGAUGAAGGUCCUACGGAUUGUAAACUUCUUUUAUAAGGGAAUAAAACCUCCCACGUGUGGGAGCUUGUAUGUACCUUAUGAAUAAGCAUCGGCUAACUCCGUG